This 391-nucleotide unclassified non-coding RNA is filed under the name Hevea brasiliensis (rubber tree). The record is from RNAcentral. Lineage: Eukaryota; Viridiplantae; Streptophyta; Magnoliopsida; Malpighiales; Euphorbiaceae.
CGGCACUGGCGAGUUCCCCAGCGGAGAUGUCCCCGUAGAUCAUGUCGCUGCCUCUUCUCCUGAUGUCUUUGGAUUCGGAUCUUCUUCAGUCGAUGUGGAUCCGAACGCUAGCUAUUCGCAGAGUCCGUUCAGCACGAUCCACGUUGAAAACGGCAACGGCAACGGUUAUAAUGUAGCUGGAGAUGGCGUUUUUACUUCGGAUGGGCCUGUGCUUCCUCCACCUUCUGAGAUGGAGCCCGAGGAAGGAUACGCCCUUCGCGAGUGGCGGCGUCAAAAUGCCAUUCAUCUUGAGGAGAAGGAAAAGAGGGAGAAGGAAAUGAGGAAGCAGAUUAUUGAAGAAGCGGAAGAGUAUAUACUUGCUUUUUAUGAGAAAAGGAAGCUUAACAUUGAG